Non-coding RNA from Capra hircus (goat), 708 nucleotides. NCBI's taxonomy places the organism in Eukaryota, Metazoa, Chordata, Mammalia, Artiodactyla, Bovidae. The record is from the annotation of a RefSeq genome assembly.
CAGGUUCACAGUUGAUUCUAAAUGGGAAAAACAAUGAAGACACCCAUUGGAGCUUUAAUCGCAUUCUUGUGGCUGCAGCUGGACUGUGUCAGCCUUGGAAACAAGGUGGAGCAAAGUCCUUCCACCCUGAGUGUCCAGGAGGGAAACAGCUCUGUUAUCACCUGCACUUAUACAGAUGGUAACUCAGACUACUUCCCUUGGUAUAAGCAAGAACCUGGGAAAGGUCCCCAGCUCCUUAUAGCUAUUCAUUCAAAUAAGGACAAAGAGGAAGACCAGAGACUGACUGUUUUAUUGAACAAGACAGCCAAACGUCUCUCCCUGCACAUCGCAACCACUGAAGCUGGAGACUCGGCUGUCUACUUCUGUGCAGCAAGACAAACCCGUGGAGACUCAGUGAGCCAGAUGGACGGCCAAGUGACCCUUUUGGAAGGGGCUACCUUGACUGUGAACUGUACUUAUUCAGCCACUAGGUACCCUACUCUUUUCUGGUAUGUCCAAUAUCCUGGAGAAGGUCCGCAGCUCCUCCUGAAAGCCACGAAGGCCAGCGACAAGGGAACCAACAAAGGUUUUGAAGCCACUUACAAUGCAAAAACCACUUCCUUCCACUUGGAGAAAGCCUCAGUCCAAGAGUCAGACUCAGCUGUGUACCACUGUGCUCUGAGUGACACAGUGACGGAAACUGCAGGGCGAGCUGAGCACAAACUCUGA